Molecule: unclassified non-coding RNA, 348 nt
Filed under: soil metagenome
Description: partial contains 5.8S ribosomal RNA, internal transcribed spacer 2, and large subunit ribosomal RNA
Rfam family: 5.8S ribosomal RNA (bases 1-120)
Source: RNAcentral
GAUGAAGAACGUAGCGAAAUGCGAAAAGUAAUGUGAAUUGCAGAAUUCAGUGAAUCAUCGAAUCUUUGAACGCACAUUGCGCCCGCCAGUAUUCUGGCGGGCAUGCCUGUCUGAGCGUCAUUUCAACCCUCAUGCCCCUAGGGCGUGGUGUUGGGGAUCGGCCAGCGCCCGCGAGGGACGGCCGGCCCCUAAAUCUAGUGGCGGACCCGUCGUGGCCUCCCCUGCGAAGUAGUGAUAUUCCGCAUAGGAGAGCGACGAGCCCCUGCCGUUAAACCCCCAACUUUCUAAGGUUGACCACAGAUCAGGUAGGAAUACCCGCUGAACUUAAGCAUAUCAAUAAGCGGAGGA